GAUGAACGCUGGCGGCGUGCCUAAUACAUGCAAGUCGAGCGAACGGACGAGAAGCUUGCUUCUCUGAUGUUAGCGGCGGACAGGUGAGUAACACGUGGAUAACCUACCUAUAAGACUGGGAUAACUUCGGGAAACCGUAGCUAAUACCGGAUAAUAUUUUGAACCGCAUGGUUCAAAAGUGAAAGACGGUCUUGCUGUCACUUAUAGAUGGAUCCGCGCUGCAUUAGCUAGUUGGUAAGGUAACGGCUUACCAAGGCAACGAUGCAUAGCCGACCUGAGAGGGUGAUCGGCCACACUGGAACUGAGACACGGUCCAGACUCCUACGGGAGGCAGCAGUAGGGAAUCUUCCGCAAUGGGCGAAAGCCUGACGGAGCAACGCCGCGUGAGUGAUGAAGGUCUUCGGAUCGUAAAACUCUGUUAUUAGGGAAGAACAUAUGUGUAAGUAACUGUGCACAUCUUGACGGUACCUAAUCAGAAAGCCACGGCUAACUACGUG
RNAcentral lists this ribosomal RNA (497 nucleotides) under uncultured bacterium. RNAcentral's name for it is "partial 16S ribosomal RNA". It matches the Rfam family "Bacterial small subunit ribosomal RNA", at positions 28 to 507 of the family's 1533-position model. The record is from RNAcentral.